Molecule: ribosomal RNA, 212 nt
Filed under: uncultured Desulfocapsa sp.
Lineage: Bacteria; Pseudomonadati; Thermodesulfobacteriota; Desulfobulbia; Desulfobulbales; Desulfocapsaceae
Description: partial 16S ribosomal RNA
Rfam family: Bacterial small subunit ribosomal RNA
Source: RNAcentral
GGUGGGGAUGACGUCAAAGUCCUCAUGGCCUUUAUGACCAGGGCUACACACGUACUACAAUGGCCGGUACAAAGGGCAGCGACACAGCGAUGUGAAGCGAAUCCCGAAAAGCCGGUCUCAGUCCGGAUUGGAGUCUGCAACUCGACUCCAUGAAGUUGGAAUCGCUAGUAAUCGCGGAUCAGCACGCCGCGGUGAAUACGUUCCCGGGCCUU